GACUGCAGAAGGGGGAUUAAAAGCCUCACCCUUUUGCUACUUCAGGAAGAUCAUGGGCAGCAGGCUUGUCUGCUGUGCAGCCUUUUGCCUCUUGGCAGCAGGUUCUUUUGAAGCCGAAGUUACCCAGACUCCAGGACAUCUAGUCAAGGGGAAAGGACAGAAAGCAAAGAUGGAUUGCAUCCCCCAGAAAGGACACAAUUUUGUUUACUGGUAUCAACAAAGCCAGAAUAAGGAGCUUAAGUUUUUGAUUUCCUUUCAGUACAAACAAGUUCUUGAUCAAACGGAGAUGUACAAGGAGCGAUUCUCAGCUGAAUGCCCCUCCAACUCACCCUGCAGCCUGGAAAUCCCAUCCCCUCAACCAGGAGACUCAGCACUGUAUUUCUGUGCCAGCAGUGAAUCCACAGCGCUGAAAUGUCAGUUCCUCUUAGUGCACAAACUCAGCAUGGACCCAACUCAGGAAGCAGGUGAUGUAUUCAUUUGGAAGGAAGUAACAGAAAUGAACUGGACCUAGCUUAAGCCACUGUGGAAUUUAACACAAGGCUAAAAGUUGUUUAACAGAAGUCAAGAAAUGAUGGGCAGGCAAUUCUGUUACAGCGCUUCUUGGGCCAGGCUCUGGAAGGGCCGUGUCUUCAGCUCUCAUUUUUCUUCCAUUUUGGCUGCUUCAAGCUUUUCCAUGCACAUGGUAUCUUUGUCUCUAGUUCUCAUAAAGAGAAUAAGAUGAUCA
Molecule: non-coding RNA, 724 nt
Organism: Nycticebus coucang (slow loris)
Lineage: Eukaryota; Metazoa; Chordata; Mammalia; Primates; Lorisidae
Source: the annotation of a RefSeq genome assembly